This 250-nucleotide ribosomal RNA is filed under the name uncultured bacterium. RNAcentral describes it as "partial small subunit ribosomal RNA". It matches the Rfam family "Bacterial small subunit ribosomal RNA", at positions 26 to 287 of the family's 1533-position model. The record is from RNAcentral.
AGGACGAACGCUGGCGGCGUGCUUAACACAUGCAAGUCACGGGGGUCCGCAAGGACAACCGGCGAACGGGUGCGUAACACGUGAGCAACCUGCCGAUUUGAGGGGGAUAGCCGGCCCAACGGCCGGGUAAUACCGCAUACGCUCAUUGAGUCUCAUGACUUGAUGAGGAAACCUCCGGGGCAGAUCGAGGGGCUCGCGGCCUAUCAGCUAGUUGGCGGUGUAAUGGACCACCAAGGCGACGACGGGUAGC